CUUGCUACACAAAGCCAAUACAGGCAUUAUGUAGUGGGAGGAGAUCACUAGUAUACAGGGGGCCUGGAUUCACUUCUCAGCAUCUUCGUUUCAGGAGGACUUGGGUUCUGUCUUGUCUGUCUGUACAAACAGCCAUCAGCUGAGGCAGAGGUGGGCUACCAAGCAGUGUGGGGGUGAUUUGUUGCCCACCUGCUUUUUCUUUCUGUCUUGGGUGAUUUACAUGAGCAGAAUAGCUUCCACAAGAGGGAGUUUCAUUUCGGAACAUCCUUGGGCCUCACUUCUACAACGCUUGCGUGAAUCUAAUCCUUGUUUGUUUUGGUUAAAGCUUCUCUACAGGCUUCAUCAGGAGGCAGGAAUGCGUCUCAUUCUGUUGUCGGUGAGGUAGCUUAAGGCGCUCCUCAGACAGGUAGUCUGAAAUGCGGUCUCUUGAGUUCUGUUGUACCACCUAGAUCAUGCCGCCUGCUGAAGUCUCUUGUGGCGUUCAUGUUUCUACUGCAGAUUUCCUUAACGAUAAGGAAGGUGGGUCACUUCUUACCAGGUUCAGUAAUUUCAUAGUAAGUUUCUUUAGCCAAGAGAGCUUAGGAGUCAUAAUGAGGGGAACUAGCUAUACAUCUGAUAUUACUUGAGUAAUGCAUUAUAGUCUUUUUCUGAUGUGAAACUACUGGAAUGGAAACACCUAGUUAAAAAGAAGAAGCGGAAGAGGCCUAUGGUAGGCUUCCGUCAGAUUUUACAGAGCCAUAUAGACAAAUAAGGACAGAAUUACUGCAGUGAAGGAGUGUGGUCAUCUUGAAUUACACAUAGGUAAAUGCUGUCAAGGUCAGAAACGCGUGGUUGAUCUCUGGCCCGGCGUGCCUUUCAGGAGGCUGAGAACAUUGCCCACAGGCAGCUGAACUGCUUGCUGGGAGUCUGAAGGAGGCACUUGCAGAGGUCAGCAUCCUCGCCUGCUCAGGCCUGUCUUCUCUGGCUACUUUUCCAGUUGAUGGUAGGACUGGCUGGAAUUGUUCUCUGGAGGUUUCCGUGGCUUCCUGCUGACUAUAGAAGGAGCUUUUGAAGACAAGCUGUUUACUACCAUAAAGCCUGCCUGAGCAGAUUCCACAGUUUCCCCCGCUUGCCUCUUUCUUUGCCACAACAUGCUUGAUUGGGCCAUGAUUCUUUUCCAUCAUCAGUCUUAUCCUAAAUAGUUGGGAAUCUGAUUAGCCGCAGAGAAGCAUUAUCCCUGCUUUACAGAUAGGAAACCAAAGUUUAGCCAUGCUCUGAGGAUAUCCGCCCCUGUUAGGUGUCAUUUGACGUUGGCCAGGACUGAAAGCACCACUAACAAGGAAGAUGUAGAUUCUUUUAUGAAACAGCCUGGAAAUGAGACAGCAGAUGUAGUUCUUAAGAAGUUGGAUGAGCAGUAUCAGAAGUAUAAAUUUUUGGAACUUAAUCUUGCUCAAAAGAAAAGGAGGCUAAAAAGUCAGAUUCCUGAAAUUAAACAGACAUUAGAAAUUUUAAAACACAUGCAGAAGAAAAAGGAUUCCACAAAUCCAAUGGAAACCAGAUUUUUAUUGGCAGAUAAUCUCUACUGCAAAGCUUCAGUUCCUCCUACAGAUAAAGUUUGUUUGUGGUUGGGGGCCAAUGUGAUGCUUGAAUAUGAUAUUGAUGAAGCUCAGGCUCUGUUAGAGAAGAAUUUGUCAACAGCCACAAGAAACCUUGAUCUUCUAGAGGAAGACCUGGAUUUUCUUAGAGAUCAGUUCACCACUACAGAAGUCAAUAUGGCUAGAGUUUAUAAUUGGGAUGUAAAGAGAAGAAACAAGCAAGACCCUUCCAAAAACAAAGCAUAGUUUUGCCAAUUUUAAACGUGGUUUCAAUUUCCAAAUAUUUUUUAUUUAAACACCCCCCAAGUUCAUUCUUAAGGGACUGAGUUACUUUAAGCAUUUCAGUAAAUGGUAAAAUAUAUAAAAACUAAUGGUGAGCACCAUUUUAUUUAUUUGUAAACUCGAAAUUUGGUUUCAUGCAUGCUUCAUGAAAUGAAUUACUUGAAAAGGCACCACACAGUCCAGCAAAGGACAUAGUAUUUUGAUCAGACCAGUCUGUCAUAAAUAAAUUUCUACCUGAAAGCUUGUCUGAAAAGUCAAGGGGCAUGUAUGAUAUGGAGUCUGACAUUUUAGCAGGUUUAGGUAAAGCAGGGGUUUACGUUUUCGUCUGUGUACGGCUGAUGAAGUUAAAGUCAGCUUGGGCUGGGAAGACAUGCAGCUGUAAUGUUCUAGGAAGCAGAAAGAAUACAGUGAAGUCUUGGAUUUUGUUUCAGUCAGUUAAUUGGCAGCAUCAACCUGCAAGCAUUCCUGGAUAUCCGCUUUGGAUAAACUUGUUUUUAAUAGCUACUGGUUAGUUAACUGCCUGUUACUGAACUCUCAGCACUUUACAUACAGCAGUUUGCGACUUGUCUUCAGAGAAGAGUGGUAAAUGGAGUAAACAGCACAAGCUAUGUCAAGACUACAGUUGGGGGCAGGAGGGUGAAAAAACUCAGCUGAAGCAGCAGACAUGAAAAGAGUAGCUGCUGAAUACUGCCUUCAGUGAAAUGGGGAGUGCAAGUCAGUGCAUCUGAAUUUGUGAAUACGAGCAAGUGAUUUGACAGCACUGUGGCUGUAGAAGAGUUAAGAGCUGCAGGGAUAGGCAUAAAAAAGAGUAAAAGAGCUCCUGACCUUUAUCCUGUGAAAGGUAUCACCUUCUGAUUUCUCUAAGUCCCUCUUGCACUAGAAGUCAAAGC
Molecule: RNA transcript, 2746 nt
Organism: Haliaeetus leucocephalus (bald eagle)
Lineage: Eukaryota; Metazoa; Chordata; Aves; Accipitriformes; Accipitridae
Gene: VBP1
Gene name: von Hippel-Lindau binding protein 1
Exons: 8
Source: RefSeq, a predicted model, not a curated record